Lynx canadensis (Canada lynx) is the source of this 173-nucleotide long non-coding RNA. RefSeq lists it as uncharacterized. The record is from RefSeq and is a predicted model, not a curated record. Lineage: Eukaryota; Metazoa; Chordata; Mammalia; Carnivora; Felidae. The transcript has 2 exons.
UUUUUUGUGUGUGUUGGUGGAAGAACGGUCUCAGAACUGUUUGUGUCAAUUGGCCAUUUAAGUUUAAUAGUAAAAGAAUGGUUAAUGAUAGCAAAUGCAUCAUAAAACCUUCAGAAGGAACGAAGAAUGUUUUGUGGGCCAUUUGUUUUGUAUGUGUGUGUGGCAGUUUUAAG